UGAGAACUGAAUUCCAUGGGUUGUCUUUGUAUCAGACCUAUGAAACUCAGUUCUUCA
RNAcentral lists this microRNA precursor (57 nucleotides) under Notamacropus eugenii (tammar wallaby). RNAcentral's name for it is "Neu-Mir-146-P4_pre stem-loop". The record is from RNAcentral. RNAcentral also lists the same sequence under 1 other name. Lineage: Eukaryota; Metazoa; Chordata; Mammalia; Diprotodontia; Macropodidae.